UUAUUGACCUGUAAAUUCCAGCUGCCGCCCUCCGUGACGCUAGAGCAGCUGGAACACAAGAUGGCGGCGUGCGGCGACGUGCAGUUCGUCAACAUCGUGGGCUCUGGCACCGCCUUCGUGCGGUUCCACAACGAGAUGGGCGCUAGGAGGUGUAUUCAGUUUUACGAUAAUUCCAUCGUAGAUGGAAACCGCAUUCAAGUGAAUUUAGCAUAAAAUAUUCGGUCCACUAUUUCCAGGAGUGCAGAAGAUCAUAAGAACAGU
Long non-coding RNA from Plutella xylostella (diamondback moth), 261 nucleotides. RefSeq lists it as uncharacterized. The record is from RefSeq and is a predicted model, not a curated record. NCBI's taxonomy places the organism in Eukaryota, Metazoa, Arthropoda, Insecta, Lepidoptera, Plutellidae.